Molecule: non-coding RNA, 170 nt
Organism: Poecilia reticulata (guppy)
Lineage: Eukaryota; Metazoa; Chordata; Actinopteri; Cyprinodontiformes; Poeciliidae
Source: RefSeq, a predicted model, not a curated record
CGAGAAACAAACAUCACAGUGGCGACUGGACUAGCUGAUCACAAUCAUCUGUGGGGAGAAACAAGAACAGGUGGAUCUGACUCUAACUCCAACCUUCACCUUCAGAAACCUGAGAAGAAGCCCUCUAUGGGACAGGAAGCUGCAAAGUUUCAAAAUAAAACAUCUAAAAA